Non-coding RNA from Podarcis lilfordi (Lilford's wall lizard), 76 nucleotides. The record is from the annotation of a GenBank genome assembly. Lineage: Eukaryota; Metazoa; Chordata; Lepidosauria; Squamata; Lacertidae.
GCAGCUGGGACAGCUCAGUCAUUAGAGCAUAAAAUUCUUAAUUUCAGGGUUGUGGCUUCGAGUCCCACCUUGCGCG